Cajanus cajan (pigeon pea) is the source of this 456-nucleotide non-coding RNA. The record is from RefSeq and is a predicted model, not a curated record. NCBI's taxonomy places the organism in Eukaryota, Viridiplantae, Streptophyta, Magnoliopsida, Fabales, Fabaceae.
UGCAGAAGCCAAAGGUUCAACAAGAAUCAUUCCAAGUGGCAAAAGUGGUUCGUCAUUUCCCUCAGACAAAGCCAAUAGCUGCUGAUAACAAACAAAAUAAAACCGAGCUCUCUGAUGAUAUACUGGAUGCUGUAUUUGGGGGCUCGUAAUCCAUAUAUCGAUGAUACCUUCGACAUCCGGAGUCAAAGAGUACGUUAUAUGAUAAAAUCUUUGUUGACAUGGUCAUAUGAGGACUAUUUGUGUGCCUUGUUGGUAUGUUGAGGUGACAGGUUCAAUGAUUGAAUUACUCAUUUGGUCUUGUGUCUAAAUUUUGACCUUUUAUCUAGAAUUUUUAUGUAGUAGUCUUUGUUGAUGUUUGUAAGUAACUUCAAUAACUUUAGGUAUUCUAAUACCACCAUAAAAUUGAUUAAUUGAGAGUGAAGUGAUAAUGUGAAAACCGUCAAGAAAUUCCUAGCA